Molecule: ribosomal RNA, 173 nt
Filed under: uncultured bacterium
Lineage: Bacteria
Description: partial 16S ribosomal RNA
Rfam family: Bacterial small subunit ribosomal RNA
Source: RNAcentral
CAUGAAGCCGGAAUUGCUAGUAAUGGCAGGUCAGCAUACUGCCGUGAAUACGUUCCCGGGCCUUGUACACACCGCCCGUCAAGCCAUGGAAGCCGGGAGUGCCUGAAGUACGCGACCGCAAGGAGCGUCCUAAGGUAAAACCGGUGACUGGGGCUAAGUCGUAACAAGGUACC